Molecule: long non-coding RNA, 225 nt
Organism: Zingiber officinale
Lineage: Eukaryota; Viridiplantae; Streptophyta; Magnoliopsida; Zingiberales; Zingiberaceae
Exons: 3
Source: RefSeq, a predicted model, not a curated record
CAUGUGGCAGAACAUUGUGAGCGUGCAUUUUCCUCAGCCCAGCAGAAGAAGAUGAUUUUGGAGGGGACAAAGAGCUACAUAUGUGAAGCAGUUGUGGCAAUAGUCGACCAUUUAGGAACUGUCUCAUCCAAACUCGAGCAGAGUCUCCUCGCAAAUGCUGUGGUUAAGCAGACUGAACAAAGAAUUGGUUGCUUGAAGCAGAGAAUCCUUGCUUGCCAACAAUAU